CGCCGUCGCCAGGACCGGCAACAACGCCGGUCAUCGUUUCUACAAGUGCAUCCGCUAUGAUGUAAGUUGUUUUUUUGAUUCAGAAAGCCCCGACCCUGCAUCUAGCUGACAUAGCUUGUCAUCGCAGGUCGUCGGACUAAUGCAUUCCAGUAUGUGUUUCAAUUUUUGUCAGGCUCGUCAGUGUCGUUUCUUCGAGUUCCAGCGCGCAUAUUGCAGGAGGAUGACUCAGGACCAUAUUGUUGCUGCGCAGCAUCAAGCUGGAUGGCACCCGGUUGGGCAUGGAUUCGCAGUUCAUCAUGGCAACCCGCCUGUCCAGAUGGUUCCAGCUG
This 329-nucleotide long non-coding RNA is filed under the name Triticum aestivum (bread wheat). Its description in RNAcentral is "long non-coding RNA (TAES_LNC001871)". The record is from RNAcentral. Lineage: Eukaryota; Viridiplantae; Streptophyta; Magnoliopsida; Poales; Poaceae.